GACGAACGCUGGCGGCGUGCUUAACACAUGCAAGUCGAACGGAAAGGCCCUGCUUUUGUGGUGUGCUCGAGUGGCGAACGGGUGAGUAACACGUGAGUAACCUGCCCUUGACUUUGGGAUAACUUCAGGAAACUGGGGCUAAUACCGGAUAGGAGCUCCUGCUGCAUGGUGGGGGUUGGAAAGUUUCGGCGGUUGGGGAUGGACUCGCGGCUUAUCAGCUUGUUGGUGGGGUAGUGGCUUACCAAGGCUUUGAAGGGUAGCCGGCCUGAGAGGGUGACCGGCCACAUUGGGACUGAGAUACGGCCCAGACUCCAACGGGAGGCAGCAGUGGGGAAGAUUGCACAAUGGGCGGAAGCCUGAUGCAGCAACGCCGCGUGCGGGAUGACGGCCUUCGGGUUGUAAACCGCUUUCGCCUGUGACGAAGCGUGAGUGACGGUAAUGGGUAAAGAAGCACCGGCUAACUACGUG
RNAcentral lists this ribosomal RNA (468 nucleotides) under uncultured bacterium. RNAcentral describes it as "partial 16S ribosomal RNA". It matches the Rfam family "Bacterial small subunit ribosomal RNA", at positions 28 to 507 of the family's 1533-position model. The record is from RNAcentral.